GGUUUCUUGUUUAUUAUAAGAGAUUUAACCUGCCCACUGAAAUUUAUUUAAAGGGCCGCAGUAUUUUGACUGUGCAAAGGUAGCAUAAUCAUUAGUCUUUUAAUUAAGGGCUUGUAUGAAUGGUUGGACGAGGUAAUAUCUAUUCUAUUAGUAUUUAAAUUUGAAUUUAAAUUUUAAGUAAAAAUGCUUAAAUAAUAAUAAGGGACGAGAAGACCCUAUAGAGUUUAAUAUAUUAAAUUUUAAUUGAGUUAGUAUAUAAUUUUAGAUUAUUUUUGAUUAUAUUUAAUUGGGGUGAUUAAAAGAUAUUUGGAACUCUUUUUUAUUUUUAAUAUUUAUGAUUAGUUUUUUGAUCCAUUAAUGAUGAUUAUAAGAUUAAAUUACCUUAGGGAUAACAGCAUAAUUUCUUUUGAGAGUUCAAAUCGAGAAGGAAGAUUGUGACCUCGAUGUUGGAUUAAGAUAAAUUUUGGGUGUAGAUGUUCAAAUAUUAGGUCUGUUCGACCUUUAAAUUCUUACA
Molecule: ribosomal RNA, 514 nt
Filed under: Elmantis nira
Lineage: Eukaryota; Metazoa; Arthropoda; Insecta; Mantodea; Gonypetidae
Description: partial 16S ribosomal RNA
Rfam family: Bacterial large subunit ribosomal RNA (bases 388-514)
Source: RNAcentral